This 455-nucleotide ribosomal RNA is filed under the name uncultured bacterium. Its description in RNAcentral is "bacterial SSU rRNA". It matches the Rfam family "Bacterial small subunit ribosomal RNA", at positions 339 to 791 of the family's 1533-position model. The record is from RNAcentral.
CUACGGGAGGCAGCAGUAAGGAAUAUUGGUCAAUGGAGGCAACUCUGAACCAGCCAUGCCGCGUGCAGGAUGAAGGCCCUAUGGGUCGUAAACUGCUUUUAUACCAGAGAAAACCCUUCCACGUGUGGAAGGCUGAUAGUAUGGUAAGAAUAAGCAUCGGCUAACUUCGUGCCAGCAGCCGCGGUAAGACGAAGGAUGCAAGCGUUAUCCGGAUUCAUUGGGUUUAAAGGGUGCGUAGGCGGACUGAUAAGUCAGUGGUGAAAUCUCUCAGCUUAACUGAGAAACUGCCAUUGAUACUGUCAGUCUAGAGUAUAGAUGACGUUGGCGGAAUAUGACAUGUAGUGGUGAAAUACUUAGAUAUGUCAUAGAACACCGAUUGCGAAGGCAGCUAACGAAACUAUAACUGACGCUGAGGCACGAAAGUGCGGGGAUCAAACAGGAUUAGAUACCCUGGU